Non-coding RNA from Vicia faba (fava bean), 246 nucleotides. NCBI's taxonomy places the organism in Eukaryota, Viridiplantae, Streptophyta, Magnoliopsida, Fabales, Fabaceae. The record is from the annotation of a GenBank genome assembly.
AUGUUAGGAGCUGUUUUUGCAUCUUUAAUUCCAAUAAUAAGAAAGCGAUUGUGGAACAACUUGGUGAAUAUCUAUAGGCAACAACAAGGAUCUUGGAUGUUGUUAGGCGAUUUCAACAAUGUUCUGAAGUGCACAGACAGAAUAGGUGGAAGACAAAUCAAGGAAGCAGAAUACAGGGAUUUGCAAGGGUUUAUGGAGAAGGCAGGACUAUAUGAAAUGGACAGCAGGGGUGAAAACUUCACUUGA